AGCGUAGACGGUGUGGCAAGUCUGAUGCGAAAGGCAUGGGCUCAACCUGUGGACUGCAUUGGAAACUGCCAUACUUGAGUGCCGGAGGGGUAAGCGGAAUUCCUAGUGUAGCGGUGAAAUGCGUAGAUAUUAGGAGGAACACCAGUGGCGAAGGCGGCUUACUGGACGGUAACUGACGUUGAGGCUCGAAAGCGUGGGAGCAAACA
This 206-nucleotide ribosomal RNA is filed under the name uncultured bacterium. Its description in RNAcentral is "partial 16S ribosomal RNA". It matches the Rfam family "Bacterial small subunit ribosomal RNA", at positions 568 to 774 of the family's 1533-position model. The record is from RNAcentral.